This 470-nucleotide ribosomal RNA is filed under the name uncultured bacterium. Its description in RNAcentral is "bacterial SSU rRNA". It matches the Rfam family "Bacterial small subunit ribosomal RNA", at positions 335 to 799 of the family's 1533-position model. The record is from RNAcentral.
ACUCCUACGGGAGGCAGCAGUGGGGAAUAUUGCACAAUGGGCGCAAGCCUGAUGCAGCCAUGCCGCGUGUGUGAAGAAGGCCUUCGGGUUGUAAAGCACUUUCAGUUGUGAGGAAGGUGGUGUCGUUAAUAGCGGCAUCAUUUGACGUUAGCUGCAGAAGAAGCACCGGCUAACUCCGUGCCAGCAGCCGCGGUAAUACGGAGGGUCAGCGUUGUCCGGAUUUAUUGGGUUUAAAGGGUGCGUAGGCGGCCCUAUAAGUCAGUGGUGAAAUCCUUCAGUUCAACUGGAGAACUGCCAUUGAUACUGUAGGGCUUGAGUACAGACGAGGUAGGCGGAAUUUAUGGUGUAGCGGUGAAAUGCAUAGAUACCAUAAAGAACACCUAUUGCGAAGGCAGCUUACUAGACUGUAACUGACGCUGAGGCACGAAAGCGUGGGGAGCGAACAGGAUUAGAUACCCUGGUAGGCUCUG